Molecule: ribosomal RNA, 301 nt
Filed under: uncultured bacterium
Lineage: Bacteria
Description: partial 16S ribosomal RNA
Rfam family: Bacterial small subunit ribosomal RNA
Source: RNAcentral
CAGCCGCCGCGGUAAUACGAGGGGGGCAAGCGUUGUUCGGAAUUAUUGGGCGUAAAGGGCGCGUAGGCGGUUUGGCAAGUUUGGUGUGAAAUCUUCGGGCUCAACUCGAAGUCUGCACCGAAAACUGCCGGGCUUGAGUAUGGGAGAGGUGAGUGGAAUUUCCGGUGUAGCGGUGAAAUGCGUAGAUAUCGGAAGGAACACCUGUGGCGAAAGCGGCUCACUGGACCAUUACUGACGCUGAGGCGCGAAAGCUAGGGGAGCAAACAGGAUUAGAUACCCCCGUAGUCCCUGUCUCUUAUAC